ACAAACUUGGUCAUUUAGAGGAAGUAAAAGUCGUAACAAGGUUUCCGUAGGUGAGUAAACAUCGGUUUCCAAUGUGCAAUUGAACUUAACGCUAAUGAAUUUACAGGUGAACCUGCGGAAGGAUCAUUACCGAGUUUUCAGGACUUAGUCCUGAACUCCCACCCUAUGUUUACAAAUCUUGUUGCUUCGGCGAGCCGUCGAAAGACGCCGGCCUUGGCUGGAUAGCGCUUGUCGAAGAUCAAUUUAAAUUCUCUAUUUGAAGUCUGAGAAAAUGCAAAUAAAUAAAACUUUCAACAACGGAUCUCUUGGUUCUGGCAUCGAUGAAGAACGCAGC
Molecule: unclassified non-coding RNA, 334 nt
Filed under: uncultured fungus
Lineage: Eukaryota; Fungi
Description: partial contains small subunit ribosomal RNA, internal transcribed spacer 1, and 5.8S ribosomal RNA
Rfam family: Eukaryotic small subunit ribosomal RNA (bases 1-129)
Source: RNAcentral